AUGAACGCUGGCGGCGUGCCUAAUACAUGCAAGUCGAGCGAACAGACGAGGAGCUUGCUCCUCUGACGUUAGCGGCGGACGGGUGAGUAACACGUGGAUAACCUACCUAUAAGACUGGGAUAACUUCGGGAAACCGGAGCUAAUACCGGAUAAUAUAUUGAACCGCAUGGUUCAAUAGUGAAAGACGGUUUUGCUGUCACUUAUAGAUGGAUCCGCGCCGCAUUAGCUAGUUGGUAAGGUAACGGCUUACCAAGGCAACGAUGCGUAGCCGACCUGAGAGGGUGAUCGGCCACACUGUAACUGAGACACGGUCCAGACUCCUACGGGAGGCAGCAGUAGGGAAUCUUCCGCAAUGGGCGAAAGCCUGACGGAGCAACGCCGCGUGAGUGAUGAAGGUCUUCGGAUCGUAAAACUCUGUUAUUAGGGAAGAACAAAUGUGUAAGUAACUAUGCACGUCUUGACGGUACCUAAUCAGAAAGCCACGGCUAACUACGUG
RNAcentral lists this ribosomal RNA (496 nucleotides) under uncultured bacterium. RNAcentral describes it as "partial 16S ribosomal RNA". It matches the Rfam family "Bacterial small subunit ribosomal RNA", at positions 29 to 507 of the family's 1533-position model. The record is from RNAcentral.